GUGGCCAGAGACUAGGGGGCCAGAGAGUAGGGGGGCCAGAGAAGUAGGGGCCAGAGAGUAGGGGGCCAGAGAGUAGGGGUGUAUUUGAGAUUAGACGCUCCAGGGUCAUGAAGCACACAGGUGGAGUAGACGAGCCCUGAUGUCCCGUAGAAAAUAACUGACGAUCCACAGCAAAACAGCCAGGCCAGACUAGACGAUCCAGAGAAAAACAGCCAGGCCAGACUAGACGAUCCAGAGCAAAACAGCCAGGCCAGACUAGACGAUCCACAGCAGAACAGCCAGGCGAUCCAGACCUGACUAGACGAUCCACAGCAGAAGAGCCAGGCGAUCCUGACGAUUCAGCCGGAGCAGCCUCGGCAACCACAGUGGGUACACUCUAUAAUCCUCCCCUGGAGAGAGAGAGAAACAGAGAGACAGAGAGAGAGAGAAACAGAGACACAGCGAGAGAGAGAGAGAGAGAGAGAGAGACAGAGACAGAGACAGAGACAGACAGAGAAACAGAGAGAGACAGAGACAGACAGAGAAACAGAGAGAGACAGAGAAACAGAGAGAGAGAGAGACAGAGACAGAGACAGAGAGAGAGAGAGAGACAGAGAGACAGAGAGAGAGAGAGAGACAGAGAGACAGAGAGAGAAACAGAGAGACAGAGAAACAGAGAGACAGAGAAACAGAGGAACAGAGACAGAGAAACAGAGAGAGAAACAGAGAGAGAGACAGAGAGAGAGACAGAGAGAGAGACAGAGAGAGAGAGAGAGAGAGAGAGACAGAGAGAGACAGAGAGAGAGACAGAGAG
RNAcentral lists this long non-coding RNA (793 nucleotides) under Salmo salar (Atlantic salmon). Its description in RNAcentral is "lncRNA (ENSSSAG00000098348.1)". Lineage: Eukaryota; Metazoa; Chordata; Actinopteri; Salmoniformes; Salmonidae. The record is from RNAcentral.